This 191-nucleotide small nuclear RNA is filed under the name Oncorhynchus mykiss (rainbow trout). Its description in RNAcentral is "U2 spliceosomal RNA (ENSOMYG00000069846.1)". It matches the Rfam family "U2 spliceosomal RNA". Rfam says of the family: U2 is a small nuclear RNA (snRNA) component of the spliceosome (involved in pre-mRNA splicing). Complementary binding between U2 snRNA (in an area lying towards the 5' end but 3' to hairpin I) and the branchpoint sequence (BPS) of the intron results the bulging out of an unpaired adenosine, on the BPS, which initiates a nucleophilic attack at the intronic 5' splice site, thus starting the first of two transesterification reactions that mediate splicing. The record is from RNAcentral. Lineage: Eukaryota; Metazoa; Chordata; Actinopteri; Salmoniformes; Salmonidae.
AUCGCUUCUCGGCCUUUUGGCUCAGAUCAAGUGUAGUAUCUGUUCUUAUCAGUUUAAUAUCUGAUACGUCCCCCAUCGGGGGACUACAUAUUAAAUGGAUUUUUCGAACAGUGAGUCGGAAAUGGGGCUUGCUCCGUCCGCUCCACGCAUCGACCCGGUAUUGCAGUACCUCCGGGAACGGUGCAACACUU